This 561-nucleotide ribosomal RNA is filed under the name uncultured bacterium. RNAcentral describes it as "bacterial SSU rRNA". It matches the Rfam family "Bacterial small subunit ribosomal RNA", at positions 338 to 916 of the family's 1533-position model. The record is from RNAcentral.
CCUACGGGAGGCAGCAGUGGGGAAUAUUGGACAAUGGGCGAAAGCCUGAUCCAGCAAUGCCGCGUGAGUGAUGAAGGCCUUAGGGUUGUAAAGCUCUUUUACCCGGGAUGAUAAUGACAGUACCGGGAGAAUAAGCUCCGGCUAACUCCGUGCCAGCAGCCGCGGUAAUACGGAGGGAGCUAGCGUUGUUCGGAAUUACUGGGCGUAAAGCGUACGUAGGCGGUUAUUCAAGUCAGAGGUGAAAGCCUGGAGCUCAACUCCAGAACUGCCUUUGAAACUAGGUAGCUAGAAUCUUGGAGAGGUUAGUGGAAUUCCGAGUGUAGAGGUGAAAUUCGUAGAUAUUCGGAAGAACACCAGUGGCGAAGGCGACUAACUGGACAAGUAUUGACGCUGAGGUACGAAAGCGUGGGGAGCAAACAGGAUUAGAUACCCUGGUAGUCCACGCCGUAAACGAUGAUAACUAGCUGUUCGGGCUCUACGAGCUUGAGUGGCGCAGCUAACGCAUUAAGUUAUCCGCCUGGGGAGUACGGUCGCAAGNUUAAAACUCAAAGGAAUUGACGG